This 71-nucleotide transfer RNA is filed under the name Candidatus Pacearchaeota archaeon. RNAcentral's name for it is "tRNA-Gly". It matches the Rfam family "tRNA". From Rfam's summary of the family: Transfer RNA (tRNA) molecules are approximately 80 nucleotides in length. Their secondary structure includes four short double-helical elements and three loops (D, anti-codon, and T loops). Lineage: Archaea; Nanobdellati. The record is from RNAcentral.
GCGCCAGUAGUCCAGUGGUAAGACACAACCCUCCCAAGGUUGUUACCUGGGUUCAAAUCCCAGCUGGCGCA